ACGUAGGGGGCGAGCGUUGUCCGGAAUUACUGGGCGUAAAGAGCACGUAGGCGGGAACUUAAGUCAGGUGUGAAAGACCGAGGCUCAACCUCGGGUAUGCACUUGAAACUGGGUUUCUUGAGGGCAGGAGAGGAAAGCAGAAUUCCUGGUGUAGCGGUGAAAGGCGUGGAAAUCAGGAGGAAUACCAGUGGCGAAGGCGGCUUACUGGACUGACCCUGACGCUGAUGUGCGAAAGCGUGGGUAUCUAACAG
RNAcentral lists this ribosomal RNA (251 nucleotides) under uncultured prokaryote. Its description in RNAcentral is "partial 16S rRNA". It matches the Rfam family "Bacterial small subunit ribosomal RNA", at positions 525 to 775 of the family's 1533-position model. The record is from RNAcentral.